This 570-nucleotide ribosomal RNA is filed under the name uncultured bacterium. RNAcentral describes it as "bacterial SSU rRNA". It matches the Rfam family "Bacterial small subunit ribosomal RNA", at positions 102 to 683 of the family's 1533-position model. The record is from RNAcentral.
ACGGGUGAGUAAUACGUGAGUAACCUGCCUUUGACUCUGGGAUAAGCCUGGGAAACUGGGUCUAAUACCGGAUAUGACAAGGAACCGCAUGGUUUUUUGUGGAAAGGGUUUGUACUGGUUUUAGAUGGGCUGACGGCCUAUCAGCUUGUUGGUGGGGUAAUGGCUCACCAAGGCGACGACGGGUAGCCGGCCUGAGAGGGUGACCGGCCACACUGGGACUGAGACACGGCCCAGACUCCUACGGGAGGCAGCAGUGGGGAAUAUUGCACAAUGGGCGCAAGCCUGAUGCAGCGACGCCGCGUGAGGGAUGACGGCCUUCGGGUUGUAAACCUCUUUCAGCAGGGAAGAAGCGAAAGUGACGGUACCUGCGGAAGAAGCGCCGGCUAACUACGUGCCAGCAGCCGCGGUAAUACGUAGGGCGCGAGCGUUGUCCGGAAUUAUUGGGCGUAAAGAGCUUGUAGGCGGUUUGUUGCGUCUGCUGUGAAAGACCAGGGCUUAACCCCGGUAUUGCAGUGGGUACGGGCAGACUAGAGUGCAGUAGGGGAGACUGGAAUUCCUGGUGUAGCGGUG